CCUACGGGGGGCUGCAGUGGGGAAUAUUGGACAAUGGGGGCAACCCUGAUCCAGCCAUGCCGCGUGUGUGAAGAAGGCCCUCGGGUUGUAAAGCACUUUCAGUGAGGAAGAACGCCUGGUGGUUAAUACCCAUCAGGAAAGACAUCACUCACAGAAGAAGCACCGGCUAACUCCGUGCCAGCAGCCGCGGUAAUACGGAGGGUGCGAGCGUUAAUCGGAAUUACUGGGCGUAAAGCGCGCGUAGGUGGCUUGAUAAGCCGGUUGUGAAAGCCCCGGGCUCAACCUGGGAACGGCAUCCGGAACUGUCAAGCUAGAGUGCGGGAGAGGAAGGUAGAAUUCCCGGUGUAGCGGUGAAAUGCGUAGAGAUCGGGAGGAAUACCAGUGGCGAAGGCGGCCUUCUGGACUGACACUGACACUGAGGUGCGAAAGCGUGGGUAGCAAACAGGAUUAGAUACCCGGGUAGUC
Molecule: ribosomal RNA, 465 nt
Filed under: Vreelandella stevensii
Lineage: Bacteria; Pseudomonadati; Pseudomonadota; Gammaproteobacteria; Oceanospirillales; Halomonadaceae
Description: partial 16S ribosomal RNA
Rfam family: Bacterial small subunit ribosomal RNA
Source: RNAcentral